RNAcentral lists this ribosomal RNA (253 nucleotides) under uncultured bacterium. RNAcentral describes it as "partial 16S ribosomal RNA". It matches the Rfam family "Bacterial small subunit ribosomal RNA", at positions 524 to 776 of the family's 1533-position model. The record is from RNAcentral.
UACAGAGGGUGCGAGCGUUAAUCGGAAUUACUGGGCGUAAAGCGUGCGUAGACGGUAGCGUAAGUCAGAUGUGAAAGCCCCGGGCUCAACCUGGGAAUUGCAUUUGAGACUGCUCUGCUCGGGUGCGGAAGAGGGAAGCGGAAUUUCCGGUGUAGCGGUGAAAUGCGUAGAUAUCGGAAGGAACACCAGUGGCGAAAGCGGCUUCCUGGUCCGACACCGACGUUCAGGCACGAAAGCUAGGGGAGCAAACAGG